This is a long non-coding RNA of Balaenoptera musculus (blue whale), 2536 nucleotides long. RefSeq lists it as uncharacterized. NCBI's taxonomy places the organism in Eukaryota, Metazoa, Chordata, Mammalia, Artiodactyla, Balaenopteridae. The record is from RefSeq and is a predicted model, not a curated record. The transcript is spliced from 4 exons.
UGCCGGGCUCACUCCCCCUCUAGAGCAAUGCAUCACAUUAAAACAGGGCACUGCUUCCACGCAGCACCCAGGCAGGGCAGGGCAGCAGACAGCUGGGGUGAAACUCUGCCCUGCGCCUUCUAGCUUCUCGGUUUGGUGACAAUGAGACCACCUUGCAGGGCCGUCACGGGAACAAGACGAGACUGCGUGCAGAUGCCCAGCGCGACGCCCACAGCAGGGAGGACCGAGUGAAGGGGACCUGUGCUCAAAUGCAGUUUCCUCAUCUGUGAAAUGGGAACAACGUCACUGAGGUGCUGACUUUGGCAGGAUGUAUAAGACACGAGGCCGGCAUCCAGGACAGGACAGAAGCGCAGUGAAGCUCCAAGAUGCGGAGGAAGAGUCACAACCACAAACUUCUGGUGUCCUGAGGAAACGCAACCUUGCUACGGACUCUUCCGCAAGGAGGCCUGUCUCUUGGAGGACAUCUGGGAAGGGGAGAUCUUGGGAGGUGUGCCCUGCACAGCACGGCAUUGAGACGGCCCCACUCGCUGAAGCGUAUCAGGCCCUACGGUGUGGACGGCGGAGCGGGGAGCCAGGGGGCAAGAGGGCAUACGAUAUAAAAACGAGUCUCCUCUUCAUCAAGACGACCUAACCUAGCUCUGCAAUGAUGUUGUGCCUUUUUAUGAGAAAGAAGAGAAUUUUCUCUUGUUUCAUUCAAAUCCCUUUAAAAAAAAUUUCAGUUUCAAAUUUUGAUUCUCUUGCAGUUUUUCUAAAGUAAGCUAUUUCUUUUAGUAGAAAACUGAGUUUUCCUAUAAAUAUACCUUACAAAGUUCAGUGCUCAAAAAAGUUACAAAAAUAGGCUUACAUUUAAAAAUCUUGUUGGAAUGUGUCUUCAAUAGUAAAAAAUCUGUGCUCCUGAUACAGCCGGUGUGAUUGGUGAAAGAGGUAGGGGUUUCUAUUCACUAAGGUUCUACAGCCCCAGCAAAGAAAAAACAAAGAUCAUUACAUUGUAAUAAUGCGCUCGUCAUCAGGAAAGAAAUGCAGAAUAGAUGUUAAGGGCAAUUUCAACAGCUGUCACUCUGGGUGAGCAGCUCAUUCCCUGCAGCGGGAGAUGGAUUUUUCUAAUACGUCUUAGAAAAUGAAACUGUCCAGGGCUUUCUCAAGGCUCAGAUUUGGGUAUCUGCCACUUUCAGGAUGAGUUAGCUGCUGGUGACAAGGAAUUAGAGGCUUCUGGAAUGGCCACCAGUGGCUGGGUCUGCAGGCACACCAGGGACCGCGGGGUCGUUUUGGCCCUGCCUCAGGAAUCUCUUCCACACACACAGUUUCUCUGAUUCUGCCCUGAGUUGCGGGCACGGUGUAGACGCCUAGGCUUGUACAAGGGAAGGUGACCUUAGAGAUGAGGGUUUCAACUCUGGUUGCCCAUUAGAACCACAUGGGGAGCCCGUAGAAUUCCCAUUCAGUUGGUCCUUUUGAGCUCACAGGCGGUCCUGGCGGGCAGCAAGGGUGAGAACCGCGAGUCACUGAAACCCAACAGCCGCAUCCUACACGCUGAGUGCGCCGUGAGCGGGAGGCCGUCAGCCCAAGGCUGAGUCUCCCCUGCAGAGCCUUUCCUUUACACGGCUGCUCCCCAAACUCUGGUGCUCGUCAGAGUCACCUGGGGGAGCUCUGAAAAUCCCUGGGCCCAGGCUGCACCUGAGACAAAUUCAGACCCUUUUUGGUUGGGACCCAGGAGACUCCCAAGGGCAGCCAGCCUGAGAACCACUAUCGUUGUGCUUCUGCAGUUCACGGUUCAUGUAUGUCUGCAGUUUGGGCGGGGGAGGGCUAAAGCUCAAAAUUAAGAACUUUCAACAAAUACCUAAGCCUUAUCGUCAACUGGAAUGCAACCUGCUGUCUCCACCGCUGUGCUCCUAGUUGUAAAAUCAGUGACAACUUGGACCAGAGCAAACCUAGAGUUUGGAAGAUUCAUCUCUGUCUUCCUGAGGUGACAGAACAAUUUUUCGUAGAGUGUGACUAUGGGGACUCCUUAAAGAUUAUGUGAGAAGAUGUGUGUAAGGCCCACUGGACAGCUGACCCUGGAAUGACUCAGGUUGGGGCGCUGACCCUCUGAGCAGUGGACCCGCCAGUAACUUUAGUAAGUCGGCGCUCUGGAGCCUCCGGUUCUUUAUCUGAGGAUUCAGCCAACGGGGGCUCGUGUAGAACUGUCACGUUCACUAGUGAAAAAAUCCACGUCUAAGGGGACCCGCACCCAUAUGUUGUUCAAGGGUCAGCUGUAAAUGUUAGCCUCUAACUCUUACUUCCCCCUGACCUGUUUCCAAAGGCCUGGUCUGGGGCUGGGCCAUGGGGAAGGGUUCCAGGGAUGGCUGGGGAGGAAACAGAAGACAGGCUCUCUGUGGGACCUCGGGGCCUGGUGUCAACUAGGAGGAACCAAAGGGGUGAGCGUUAAGCUUUGAGGUCCAGCCAGUCAGAGCCAAGACGUGGGAAUCCUGGAGCCCUGGGAGCCCCCCCUCCUGACUGCCCAGGGACCCCCGGGCUGGACUCAGGCUCUCUUGGGCUCUGA